Molecule: long non-coding RNA, 352 nt
Organism: Hippoglossus stenolepis (Pacific halibut)
Lineage: Eukaryota; Metazoa; Chordata; Actinopteri; Pleuronectiformes; Pleuronectidae
Exons: 3
Source: RefSeq, a predicted model, not a curated record
AGUCGAGGCGGAGAAGACGGGCGCACAAUCCCCAAAUUACGGAAACUGCCCGUCUCUUCACACCUCUGAGGCAAAUGGCCGGCGCCACGAACCGGAGCGAGGGAAAGAUGAGAGAAGAGACGCGCUGUGCUGUAUAAAAUACAUUCUCCAGGUUUACUAUAUCUGAUCUAUUUCAUCAUUGUGUUUUCACAGCCUGAGCCCCCCCACACACACAACGAGGCAGUCACUGCACAUUUGGCCGAGACUCUAGCUGCAAGUCCGGAUUUGCAGUGUGGAAAAUGACGCCAUUGUCCCUGCCUGUACUAUGACGUACUAAGACGUACUAUGAGCCAGUAUGAAGGAACUUCCUGUA